CCUAGCUUCCUACUUGCCUUGGUGACCACAAGGUCAUAGUGCAAGCAAGCACAUUAGCCUCUCUGUGCCUCAAUUUUCUCACGUCUAACAUGGGGUUAAUAACGGUAUCUACUUCAUAGACUUGGGGAAGAUUAAAUGACUCAGAUGUCCUGUACAUAUUAAGCACUAGAUAUAUGCAUAAAUAUGCAUGCAGUAAGCGCCGUAGAAGUGUUUGUUAUUAUGACUAAAAGCAAACUUGUGAGUGAGUGCGGAAAAGUGAAAGCACAUGACUUGUUCGGGCAAUGGAGAGCAGUUUAGUGUGCCUUGAAGAUUCAGUGAGAUGAAGAUGUUGAGAAGAGGAUAGCAAACAGGAGGCCCCGGCUCAGGUCACAGACUGUUUCAGGGACUUUGAACUUGACCCUUAGGAAAUAGGGAGCCAAUAUAAGUUUAAUUAUUGUGGUUGCUGCUGCUGCUGCUGCUGCUGUUGUUGUUAUUAUUAUUAUUAUGCUAAGACACACCUAAUGUACCCAUUUCAACCAUUCCAGGACAUUCUUGACCAGUUCUGGCUGCUACAGUUGAAUGCCACAGACGGGGUGCUUAAACAACAGAUAGUUAUUUCUCAUGGUUUGGGAAGCUGGGAAGUCCCAGAUCAGGGGGCCAGCGGGGCUGGAUUCUGCUGACAACACUCUUCCUGGAUUGCAGAUGUCUGUCUUCUAUCCUCACAUGAUGAUGGGGAGAGACCGAGAGGGUGGGAGACCCAGAGGGGAUAGAGUGAGAGACAGGAAGGGAGAGGGUGAGAGGGAGGAAGAGACAGAGACCGAGAUUGAGCAGGGGCAGGGGAGGGGGCAAGCCUGCUCCCAGGUCCUUCUCAAAAAGGCACUAAUCCCAUUCAUAAGGGCUCCACCCUCCUGACCUAAUAAUCUCUCAAAGUCCCUACCUCCAAGUAUCAUUCCAUUCGGGGUUAAGAGUCUAAAAUAUAAUUUUGGGAAAAACAUUCAGCCAAUAACGACCACUCUCUAGUUCUGCGUAAGGUUUAGAGCUGGGGAAAGGCUGCUUGACAGCAGGCUGCGCCUCUUGCAUUCCCAGGGAGAGUGUUGGGGACUGAAAAAUUACUGGACCUACUUUCAACCACUAUCCCGCCGGCCCCAUGAUUCCUGAAAAGAAGACGAUGCUUCUGAGCCCCACCUGCAAAGCAGGCACUUUGAACCAUGUUCCCAGUCAUAGCAGAGAUGUCUGUCACCAAGAGGACACCUUUCUGAGACACCUGGGUGCCCAGUGACCCCCCAGGAAGAUCUUCAGACUCUAACCACCUGAGGAAGCAGCCCUGGCUUACUUCACCCACGAGGCCACGGCCAUGAGAAAGAAGACACCAUGCUGACCUCACUCACUGGACACGCCACCAUCUUCCAAGAGCCCUGCACACUUUUCUUCUCGUCUUCCACUCGAACAUUGGCCAGCUGAUGCUCCAGUGUCUACCAUCUGCCCUUCUACAGCCUUCUCGGUCACUUUAGCCUCUGCAUCAAUACAUUUUGAAGACCAUUCCUCACGAGCGAGUUUGGCCCAGUGGUAGUCGGCGUGGGCAGGAGCACGGGAACUCUGAGCAUUCAGGAAAAGCCAGAAGGAAACCCCAGAGAGAGGAUGGACCGAAGAUGUAUUUGGCUUUGGUGCUCAUUGUACCUGAUCUGGCCUCAGAAGCAACCAUUGUCCCCUUUCCCAGUCCAGAGGGGGGCAAUGCCAAGGACGGUUGGCACUUUUCAAGCCUUGGCUUACACUUGUUCGAGGAUGGAAAAAUUUAUUUAUUCUGGCCCAGGCUCGUGGGGCUGGGGGACUCCCAGGACAGGGGGCCUGUAU
Long non-coding RNA from Mustela erminea (ermine), 1830 nucleotides. RefSeq lists it as uncharacterized. The record is from RefSeq and is a predicted model, not a curated record. The transcript has 3 exons. Lineage: Eukaryota; Metazoa; Chordata; Mammalia; Carnivora; Mustelidae.